UACAGAGGGGGCGAGCGUUAUUCGGAAUUAUUGGGCGUAAAGCGCGUGUAGGCGGUCCGGUAAGUCCGCUGUGAAAGUCGGGGGCUCAACCCUCGAAUGCCGGUGGAUACUGUCGGGCUAGAGUGCGGAAGAGGCGAGUGGAAUUCCUGGUGUAGCGGUGAAAUGCGCAGAUAUCAGGAGGAACACCGAUUGCGAAGGCAGCUCGCUGGGACGUAACUGACGCUGAGACGCGAAAGCGUGGGGAGCAAACAGG
Molecule: ribosomal RNA, 253 nt
Filed under: uncultured bacterium
Lineage: Bacteria
Description: partial 16S ribosomal RNA
Rfam family: Bacterial small subunit ribosomal RNA
Source: RNAcentral